Molecule: ribosomal RNA, 694 nt
Filed under: uncultured bacterium
Lineage: Bacteria
Description: bacterial SSU rRNA
Rfam family: Bacterial small subunit ribosomal RNA
Source: RNAcentral
AACGUGCCUCAUAGUGGGGGAUAACGCAGCGAAAGCUGUGCUAAUACCGCAUACGCCCUGAGGGGGAAAGCGGGGGACCGUAAGGCCUCGCGCUAUGAGAGCGGCCGAUACCUGAUUAGCUUGUUGGUGGGGUAAAAGCCCACCAAGGCGACGAUCAGUAGCUGGUCUGAGAGGACGAUCAGCCACACCAGGACUGAGACACGGCCCAGACUCCUACGGGAGGCAGCAGUGGGGAAUUUUGGACAAUGGGGGCAACCCUGAUCCAGCAAUGCCGCGUGAGUGAAGAAGGCCUUCGGGUUGUAAAGCUCUUUUGUCAGGGAAGAAACAGCAGCUCUAACACAGUCUGCGAAUGGCGGUACCUGAAGAAUAAGCACCGGCUAACUACGUGCCAGCAGCCGCGGUAAUACGUAGGGUGCGAGCGUUAAUCGGAAUUACUGGGCGUAAAGCGUGCGCAGGCGGUUAUACAAGACAGGCGUGAAAUCCCCGGGCUUAACCUGGGUAUGGCGCCUGUGACUGUAUAGCUAGAGUGUGUCAGAGGGGGGUAGAAUUCCACGUGUAGCAGUGAAAUGCGUAGAUAUGUGGAGGAAUACCAAUGGCGAAGGCAGCCCCCUGGGAUAACACUGACGCUCAUGCACGAAAGCGUGGGGAGCAAACAGGAUUAGAUACCCUGGUAGUCCACGCCCUAAACGAUGCU